This 713-nucleotide long non-coding RNA is filed under the name Mytilus galloprovincialis (Mediterranean mussel). Lineage: Eukaryota; Metazoa; Mollusca; Bivalvia; Mytilida; Mytilidae. The record is from RNAcentral.
CAGGUUUAAAGUAUUUAAUGCAAUGGGGAAAACAAAUAUUUCAUCAAAUAAAUUUAAGUCAUAUAAUCUUAUGAAUAUCCUUUUCAUAUUGGAUACAAAUUUUAUUAAGUCUAAUGCAGACAUUUCCUAGUCAAAGCGUUUCAACUGAGGUACUACACAGGCGUCAAAGGCGUCAUUAUGGAGUAAAGGGGGGGGGGGGGGGGGGGGGGUGCCAAAAGGCGUCAUUAUGGAGGAAAGGGUUAAAGAAGUAAAGCAUCAUGCAGUGUUGACACAGUGUUUUUCCAUGUUUCUUAUAUAAAUUGUAUUGAUUUUCAUGAUGGAGAUUUUAAUGCUCAUAAUAAAACUAUUAAUUUCCUGGUUUUUUAAAACAAUAAUACUAGAAACAGUUUUAUCUCCAAAAUCACAGUUUAUUGUGUUUUGACAUUUUUCUUGUAGAGAAUGUUUAAAUAAAUUCAAUUUUAAUAUGUAUAUUUUUAUUUUGACAAUGAAAUUAUUUGUGUUUGAAUAGAUAAAAAGAAAAUUUUUAUUAUGUAAAGAAAAUGAUGGAUUAUAAAUACGCAACAUAAUUAUCCAUGUUAUUCUUUUGAAUUAUUGUGCUUCUACAUUGUUUACUAUGCAUUUUUUGCUUCCAAACACAUCCUGGUGAAUAUGUUAAAUUUAUCAGUUGUAUGCAUAUAUCAAAUCUUCAUAUUUAUUAAAAUAAAACAUAUUUG